This 429-nucleotide ribosomal RNA is filed under the name Actinomycetes bacterium. RNAcentral describes it as "Actinobacteria bacterium partial 16S ribosomal RNA". It matches the Rfam family "Bacterial small subunit ribosomal RNA", at positions 355 to 776 of the family's 1533-position model. Lineage: Bacteria; Bacillati; Actinomycetota; Actinomycetes. The record is from RNAcentral.
UAGGGAAUCUUCCGCAAUGGGCGAAAGCCUGACGGAGCAACGCCGCGUGAGUGAUGAAGGUCUUCGGAUCGUAAAACUCCGUUAUUAGGGAAGAACAAAUGUGUAAGUAACUAUGCACGUCUUGACGGUACCUAAUCAGAAAGCCACGGCUAACUACGUGCCAGCAGCCGCGGUAAUACGUAGGUGGCAAGCGUUAUCCGGAAUUAUUGGGCGUAAAGCGCGCGUAGGCGGUUUUUUAAGUCUGAUGUGAAAGCCCACGGCUCAACCGUGGAGGGUCAUUGGAAACUGGAAAACUUGAGUGCAGAAGAGGAAAGUGGAAUUCCAUGUGUAGCGGUGAAAUGCGCAGAGAUAUGGAGGAACACCAGUGGCGAAGGCGACUUUCUGGUCUGUAACUGACGCUGAUGUGCGAAAGCGUGGGGAUCAAACAGG